Equus caballus (horse) is the source of this 3051-nucleotide non-coding RNA. NCBI's taxonomy places the organism in Eukaryota, Metazoa, Chordata, Mammalia, Perissodactyla, Equidae. The record is from RefSeq and is a predicted model, not a curated record.
CUGCGGGAAGAUGCCGUUGGGGGCCAGCUGGUGGAAGAUGCAGCGCAGGAACUGCUUGGCCACCCCCGCGGCGUUGCCGGGAACCAUCAUGCUGGGGAGAAGAGACGAGGCUCGUGAGCAGCCGCCUGAGCGACACAGCCAAGAGAAGCAAGAUAGGAGAAAUGUUUCUGGGGACUGUGGAAAUCAGCGUCUCAAGCCCAAGCACUUUUCUCUGGAGCAGUGGCGUGAAGCGUCUAGUCACUAAUGACAAGGACUUCCAGCCCUGGAGCCAGCUAAAUGAUAUAAGAUAAAACCAGCCUAGUUUAAAAUUCUGCUACAAAAAAAGUUAUACAAGAAUCAGAUCUGUCACAAGUGAUAUCAGCAUAUGGACAAAGACUGAAAAGCAGAGGUUCUGCAGGCUGCACGGGGAGGCAGGAGGUGCCCACCAGGUCUGGCUCUCGGUUCUGGAUCCCCUACUCCACUCUUAGUAUGUCACGAUGUGAAAUGACAACCAGUCUUCCUGGGGCUAUAGAAGCCACAUAUUUCUUCCAUGAAUAAAUGCACCCUUACUUGAUAAAUUUCUAAAUCUCCUGCAAAUCUAUGUUAAAUGAUUCCAGCCACUCUUAAAACAUAAUUUUAUAAAAAGUUAUAGUAGCUAGUGAAACAAUAUAGUUCUGUGCAAAUAAAGACGUUUCAGUACUUUGCUUAAGCUGUUCCAGCAACCUGGAAUAUUCUUGAUAUUAUUUUCUGCUUAUUGACACUCUACCAUCCUUAAAGAAUCUGCUGCUGAAAUUCCAGCUGUUCUCUGAAGUCUACUUUGCCCUCCUAGAGUGGCCUCUCCAUCCCAUGAACUCCUGCAAAAAUACUGUUCAUUUACAUACAGCAUUUAUGUGUUCAUAUAUGGCUAUAUGACUUAUCUCCUUUUGUGUUCUUGAAUUAUAUUUAUACCUUUAUAGUUUCUUAAACUCUUCUUACAAGUUUAUAUUUGGUCUUAUCAAUUAAAUUAGGAGCUUUUGGAGAAAAGGAAUCAGCUCUUAUACUCUUUUUAUUGUUCCCAUAGUACCUAGUACAUAUAGGAUUUAUUCAAUAAAUUCUCUGAUUCACUUAUUUAAAAAAUAUAUAUUAAGAACAUAUAUACAACUAAGAAAUCAUCCUAGGUACUUGGGAGGAGAUGGAAGUAAAUGGAAAAAUAAAUUGUUAUGGACUGAAUGUUUGUGUCCUCCCCCCACAAAUUCGUAUGUUGAAUGUGAUGUGUGAUGGUAGGACUUUGGGAAGUAAUUAGGUUUAGAUGAGAUCAUCAGGGUGGGGUCCCCAUGAUGGCAUUCAUGUCCUUAUAAGAAGAGGAAGAGAGAUCAGAGCUCUCUGUCUCUCUCUCCACCAUGUGAGGAGACAGCAAAAAGGUGGCCAGCCACCUACAAGCCAGGAAGAGAGCCCUCACCGAGAAAGUGAAUUGGCCAACACCUUGAUCUUCGACUUUCCAGCCUCUGGAACUAUGAAAAAUAAAUUUCUGUUGCUUAAGCCCCCCAGUCUGUGGUAUUCUGUUAGUGCAGCCCGAGCUGACUAAUACGUGAAUCGUUCACAAGUCUUGACUUCAAAGUCAAGUCAACUAAAACAGACAAGACAAGUAUAACUAUAACUGAAAUGUAAUAUAAAAAGCUGUAAAUCCUACUGAGUUGUAAAUAAAAUGGUAUGGAAGAUCAGAAGAUGAAGAAAUGACUUUAUCCACUGGGACAUCAUUGAGGGAACCAAGAAAGCGGAACUCAUUGUGGGCAUUUGAAGGAAGAUCAAAUGGAGGUGGCAUUUGAAUGGGACCUAGAAGGGAAGACAAUUUCAGGUGGAGAGCACAGAAUGGCCAAGAUAUGGUUGAGGGGAAGCAGGCAGCAAUGGCAUGUGUAGAAAGAAGAGAGGGAAAUGAGGCUGCAAACACUUGUAGUUAGACCAUGGGAGGCUCUGAAUGUCAGGUUAAGGGGUCUGAACUGUAUUCACUAGGCAUUGAAAACCCAUGAACAUUUUUUGAGGAGAAAAGUGACAUAAUCAGGGCUGUGAUUCAGAAGAUUAAUCUAGCAACAAUCUAAUCUUUAAAUUGUAAUGAAAGAGCAUAAACAUUUAUCUGCUUUAUUUGUAUUUAAAUGCCUAUAAAAUGUUACCAAUACCAUGUAGUUUUUUGCUAGAAAAUUUUAAUCUAAUUCCCUACAACAUCACGUGCUAUUAUAUAAAUAAACCAGCCUCUGGAAUUCAUGGGGCAUAAAAGGCAAGAACUCUUUGAGGUGGCCAGAUGUUAGGGAACUGAGCUCUAAAGUAUAAUAGUUAACUCACCUGAUGGAACUUCCAUUUCUUUCCCAAAUUUUUGAGACACUAAAAUAUAUGGAACCAUUCUGAUGAGGCACACUAUGGUAUGCCAGCCCCACUUGCUGCCCCCUGAAAAUGGGAGUCCUAGCAGAUUGGGGUGACAGUGAAGCCAGCAGAUGUGAGGCUAAGAGAACACAUCCACGUUCCUUCCUUACCCUGUUCCUCUGAGAACUUGCCAUUCUAAGCACUAGGAAAUUGUACCCAUCACUGCACCAGACUUGGUCCCUGAUGCUUCAAUGGCAAGGGUAUAACAGCAGAGAUUCUCAAACUUCACCAAUUACCGGGAGAACUUAUUAAAAAUGUAGAUUCCUGGCCUCACCCCCUGAAAUUCUGACUCAGUAAGUCUAGGAUAGGGCCCGAUAAUCUGCAUCUUUAACAAACAUUCCCAGUUACUCUGAUGCAAGCAACCUAUUAGAUUGACGACAUAAUUUAUCAUUCAAGCCAGGACCCAUCUGAGAGUAAACAAGGGUACAAUUAAUAAAUACACCUGGAGAGCAGGCAUAACCUGGGACUGUUCUAGGCAAACCUGUGCAGAUCACCCUACCUAAGGACACUGCAAAAUACUAUUAUCAAGGAAGCCUGGCUAAGUAGAACCACAAAGAACACCAGCAAGCAGGACAAUGCCCUUUAAAAACAAGGGAGGAUAAAGGAAGGCCAGAAAUAGAUGUGGUGCCUGGACACCUGGUUUACCUUGUGACCAGAGAGAAUUUUUAAGCUAAUACA